RNAcentral lists this transfer RNA (73 nucleotides) under Diaphorina citri (Asian citrus psyllid). It matches the Rfam family "tRNA". Rfam says of the family: Transfer RNA (tRNA) molecules are approximately 80 nucleotides in length. Their secondary structure includes four short double-helical elements and three loops (D, anti-codon, and T loops). Lineage: Eukaryota; Metazoa; Arthropoda; Insecta; Hemiptera; Psyllidae. The record is from Rfam by way of RNAcentral.
GCCUAGUUAGCUCGUUUGGUAGAGCGUCUGCCUUAUAAGCGCUAGGCCGCGGGUUCGAUUCCCACCCGGGGCG